This 465-nucleotide ribosomal RNA is filed under the name uncultured Selenomonas sp. RNAcentral's name for it is "bacterial SSU rRNA". It matches the Rfam family "Bacterial small subunit ribosomal RNA", at positions 338 to 795 of the family's 1533-position model. Lineage: Bacteria; Bacillati; Bacillota; Negativicutes; Selenomonadales; Selenomonadaceae. The record is from RNAcentral.
CCUACGGGAGGCAGCAGUGGGGAAUCUUCCGCAAUGGGCGCAAGCCUGACGGAGCAACGCCGCGUGAGUGAAGAAGGUCUUCGGAUCGUAAAGCUCUGUUGACGGGGACGAACGUGCGAGAGGUGAAUAAUCUCUUGCAAUGACGGUACCUGUCGAGGAAGCCACGGCUAACUACGUGCCAGCAGCCGCGGUAAUACGUAGGUGGCGAGCGUUGUCCGGAAUCAUUGGGCGUAAAGGGAGCGCAGGCGGGCAUGUAAGUCUUUCUUAAAAGUUCGGGGCUCAACCCCGUGAUGGGAAAGAAACUACAUGUCUUGAGUACAGGAGAGGAAAGCGGAAUUCCCAGUGUAGCGGUGAAAUGCGUAGAUAUUGGGAGGAACACCAGUGGCGAAGGCGGCUUUCUGGACUGCAACUGACGCUGAGGCUCGAAAGCCAGGGGAGCGAACGGGAUUAGAUACCCCAGUAGUC